GCGACGCCGCGUGGGUGAAGAAGGCUGCGGUUGUAAGACCUUCGGUGAGGAAGAAAGUUACGACCUAACACGUCGGGACCUGACGUAACCCACUAAAGAAGACACCGGCUAACUCUGUGCCAGCAGCCGCGGUAAUACAGAGGGUGCGAGCGUUAAUCGGAAUUACUGGGCGUAAAGCGCGCGUAGGCGGCUUUGCAAGUCGGAUGUGAAAUCCCCAGGCUUAACCUGGGAACUGCUUCCGAGACUGCAUCGCUAGAGUAUGGGAGAGGGAAGUGGAAUUUCAGGUGUAGCGGUGAAAUGCGUAGAUAUCUGAAGGAACAUCAGUGGCGAAAGCGACUUCCUGGACCAAUACUGACGCUCAUGUGCGAAAGCGUGGGGAGCAAACAGGAUUAGAUACCCUGGUAGUCCACGCCAUAAACGAUGAGAACUGGAUGUCGGGAGGGUCUGCCUCUCGGUGUCGUAGCUAACGCGUUAAGUUCUCCGCCUGGGGAGUACGGCCGCAAGGUUG
This 508-nucleotide ribosomal RNA is filed under the name uncultured Pseudomonadota bacterium. Its description in RNAcentral is "bacterial SSU rRNA". It matches the Rfam family "Bacterial small subunit ribosomal RNA", at positions 391 to 896 of the family's 1533-position model. Lineage: Bacteria; Pseudomonadati; Pseudomonadota. The record is from RNAcentral.